RNAcentral lists this ribosomal RNA (724 nucleotides) under uncultured bacterium. Its description in RNAcentral is "bacterial SSU rRNA". It matches the Rfam family "Bacterial small subunit ribosomal RNA", at positions 147 to 856 of the family's 1533-position model. The record is from RNAcentral.
CACUUGGAAACAGGGUGCUAAUACCGCAUAACCAUAGUUACCGCAUGGUAACUAUGUAAAAGGUGGCUAUGCUACCGCUUUUGGAUGGGCCCGCGGCGCAUUAGCUUGUUGGUGGGGUAAAGGCUUACCAAGGCAAUGAUGCGUAGCCGAACUGAGAGGUUGAUCGGCCACAUUGGGACUGAGACACGGCCCAAACUCCUACGGGAGGCAGCAGUAGGGAAUCUUCCACAAUGGGCGAAAGCCUGAUGGAGCAACGCCGCGUGGGUGAAGAAGGUCUUCGGAUCGUAAAACCCUGUUGUUAGAGAAGAAAGUGCGUGAGAGUAACUGUUCACGUUUCGACGGUAUCUAACCAGAAAGCCACGGCUAACUACGUGCCAGCAGCCGCGGUAAUACGUAGGUGGCAAGCGUUAUCCGGACUUAUUGGGCGUAAAGGGAACGCAGGCGGUCUUUUAAGUCUGAUGUGAAAGCCUUCGGCUUAACCGGAGUAGUGCAUUGGAAACUGGGAGACUUGAGUGCAGAAGAGGAGAGUGGAACUCCAUGUGUAGCGGUGAAAUGCGUAGAUAUAUGGAAGAACACCAGUGGCGAAAGCGGCUCUCUGGUCUGUAACUGACGCUGAGGUUCGAAAGCGUGGGUAGCAAACAGGAUUAGAUACCCUGGUAGUCCACGCCGUUAACGAUGAAUGCUAAGUGUUGGAGAGUUUCCGCCCUUCAGUGCUGCAGCUAAC